AGUGAACGCUGGCGGCAGGCCUAAUACAUGCAAGUCGAACGGCAGCACGGCAGAGCUUGCUCUGUGGGUGGCGAGUGGCGGACGGGUGAGGAAUACAUGGGAAUCUGCCCAGUCGUGGGGGAUAACGUAGGGAAACUUACGCUAAUACCGCAUGCGCCCUUCGGGGGAAAGCCGGGGACCGUUCGGGCCUGGCGCGAUUGGAUGAGCCCAUGUCGGAUUAGCUAGUUGGCGGGGUAAUGGCCCACCAAGGCGACGAUCCGUAGCUGGUCUGAGAGGAUGAUCAGCCACACUGGAACUGAGACACGGUCCAGACUCCUACGGGAGGCAGCAGUAGGGAAUAUUGGACAAUGGGCGCAAGCCUGAUCCAGCCAUGCCGCGUGAGUGAAGAAGGCCCUCGGGUUGUAAAGCUCUUUUGUCCGGAAAGAAAGCGCCGGGUUAAUACCCUGGUGUCCUGACGGUACCGGAAGAAUAAGCACCGGCUAACUUCGUGCCAGCAGCCG
Molecule: ribosomal RNA, 500 nt
Filed under: uncultured bacterium
Lineage: Bacteria
Description: bacterial SSU rRNA
Rfam family: Bacterial small subunit ribosomal RNA
Source: RNAcentral